CGGUUAUACCAAUAGAUCUAGUUAUAUUUAUAAGGUAAAAAUGUAGUUAAAUAUAAUAUAUUAGUUUUAUGAUUUUUUAUAAGAAAGUGAAAUUUUGAUAUAAAUAAAUAAACCAAAAAUAACUAAAUAAAUUGAAUCUACAAUAGCUUUGAGGGAAACUGGGAUUUGAUACCCCAUUAUUCUUAGCUGUAAAUAGAUAUAAAAUUUACCAGAGUACUACGAAUGAUUUAUAAAUUUAAAACUCAAAGGGCUUGGCGGUGUUUUAGACCUCUUAGGGGAACCUGUCUCGUAAUCGAUGAUCCGCGUUAGACCUAACCUUUUUUUGCUAUCAGUUUAUACACCGUUGUCAUCAGGUAACUUUUUAAAAAAAUUAAGUUAACAAUAAAAUAAUAAUAAAUUAAAAUGUCAAAUCAAGGUGCAGCUUAUAAAAAGGGGAAUAGAUGGGUUACAAUUAAGAUUUAUAAGAUGGAUUAAAUAAUGAAAUUUAUAUAUGAAAGAGGACUUAAAAGUAAAAUGAUGUAUAUAAAUAAUUUGAAUUAGGCUCUGAAAUGUGUACUAAUCGCCC
This 565-nucleotide ribosomal RNA is filed under the name Admetula sp. MNHN IM20095622. Its description in RNAcentral is "partial 12S ribosomal RNA". Lineage: Eukaryota; Metazoa; Mollusca; Gastropoda; Neogastropoda; Cancellariidae. The record is from RNAcentral.